CAACCUCGGUGUAAGGACGCACAGCGCAGGGACACCCUGUGGGGAAGGGCUUCAGUGCACUGGUGAGGACCCACGCCAUUCCUGUAGCUAUAGUUGGACUCUGUCACCAGAUAGGCUUCACAGAGGCUGGGUACCCACACUUUGUACAUUGUGCUGCUGUGGAGACCACUUCAUAAGGUGCCAAUCUUUCAUCUAAACUGAAGCCAUAAGAUCUCACAUUAAUCCAGUAUGGCCAAAUCUCUUGCGUAAGUCUGCUUUCCAAUACAUCUUGCCUUCUGGCAUAGUAUUUGGGUAUGGACUUUAUAAAGCCCUUCUCC
Molecule: long non-coding RNA, 317 nt
Filed under: Cavia porcellus (domestic guinea pig)
Lineage: Eukaryota; Metazoa; Chordata; Mammalia; Rodentia; Caviidae
Description: lncRNA (ENSCPOG00000034588.1)
Source: RNAcentral